GACGUAGGAUGCGAGCGUUGUUCGGAAUUACUGGGCGUAAAGGGCGCGUAGGCGGCCAUCUAAGUCAGACGUGAAAUCCCCCGGCUUAACCUGGGAACUGCGUCUGAUACUGGACGGCUUGAGUAUGGGAGAGGGAUGUAGAAUUCCAGGUGUAGCGGUGAAAUGCGUAGAUAUCUGGAGGAAUACCGGUGGCGAAGGCGGCAUCCUGGACCAUUACUGACGCUGAGGCGCGAAAGCUAGGGGAGCAAACGGG
This 253-nucleotide ribosomal RNA is filed under the name uncultured bacterium. RNAcentral's name for it is "partial 16S ribosomal RNA". It matches the Rfam family "Bacterial small subunit ribosomal RNA", at positions 524 to 776 of the family's 1533-position model. The record is from RNAcentral.